Molecule: ribosomal RNA, 253 nt
Filed under: uncultured bacterium
Lineage: Bacteria
Description: partial 16S ribosomal RNA
Rfam family: Bacterial small subunit ribosomal RNA
Source: RNAcentral
UACGUGAGGUGCAAACGUUACCCGGAAUUAUUGGGCGUAAAGCGUGCGUAGGCGGUGAUGUAAGACAGGUGUGAAAUCCCCGGGCUUAACCUGGGAACUGCAUUUGUGACUGCAUCGCUGGAGUGCGGCAGAGGGGGAUGGAAUUCCGCGUGUAGCAGUGAAAUGCGUAGAUAUGCGGAGGAACACCGAUGGCGAAGGCAGCUCUCUGGGACGGUACUGACGCUGAGACGCGAAAGCGUGGGGAGCGAACAGG